GACAGAGGGUGCAAACGUUGUUCGGAAUUACUGGGCGUAAAGCGUGUGUAGGCGGCCACGUAAGUCGGGUGUGAAAUCCCCGGGCUCAACCUGGGAACUGCAUUCGAGACUGCCUUGCUCGAGUAUGGGAGAGGGAAGUGGAAUUUCCGGUGUAGCGGUGAAAUGCGUAGAUAUCGGAAGGAACAUCAGUGGCGAAGGCGACUUCCUGGACCAAUACUGACACUCAGGUGCGAAAGCGUGGGGAGCAAACAGG
This 253-nucleotide ribosomal RNA is filed under the name uncultured bacterium. RNAcentral describes it as "partial 16S ribosomal RNA". It matches the Rfam family "Bacterial small subunit ribosomal RNA", at positions 524 to 776 of the family's 1533-position model. The record is from RNAcentral.